RNAcentral lists this unclassified non-coding RNA (316 nucleotides) under plant metagenome. RNAcentral describes it as "partial contains 5.8S ribosomal RNA, internal transcribed spacer 2, and large subunit ribosomal RNA". The stretch from base 1 to 105 matches the Rfam family "5.8S ribosomal RNA", at positions 50 to 154 of the family's 154-position model. The record is from RNAcentral.
GAAAUGCGAUAACUAGUGUGAAUUGCAGAAUUCCGUGAAUCAUCGAGUCUUUGAACGCACAUUGCGCCCCCUGGUAUUCCGGGGGGCAUGCCUGUCCGAGCGUCAUUUCUGCCCAUCAAGCACGGCUUGUGUGUUGGGUCGUCGUCCCCUCUCCGGGGGGGACGGGCCCCAAAGGCAGCGGCGGCACCGCGUCCGAUCCUCGAGCGUAUGGGGCUUUGUCACCCGCUCUGUAGGCCCGGCCGGCGCUUGCCGAACGCAAAUCAAUCUUUUUCCAGGUUGACCUCGGAUCAGGUAGGGAUACCCGCUGAACUUAAGC